ACCAGUGUGGCAUAGUGGUUUGAGCGUCAGACUACAACUCUGGAGACCAGGGUUCAAAUCCCAGCUCAGCCA
Non-coding RNA from Phrynosoma platyrhinos (Desert horned lizard), 72 nucleotides. The record is from the annotation of a GenBank genome assembly. NCBI's taxonomy places the organism in Eukaryota, Metazoa, Chordata, Lepidosauria, Squamata, Phrynosomatidae.